GAUGAACGCUAGCGACAGGCCUAACACAUGCAAGUCGAGGGGUAUAAGUAGCUUGCUACUUAGAGACCGGCGCACGGGUGAGUAACGCGUAUGCAACCUACCUUUUACUGGGGGAUAGCCCAAAGAAAUUUGGAUUAAUACCGCAUAAUAUAUUUGAAUCGCAUGGUUUGAAUAUUAAAUCUUCGGAGGUAAAAGAUGGGCAUGCGUAGCAUUAGUUUGUUGGUGAGGUAACGGCUCACCAAGACUAUGAUGCUUAGGGGGUCUGAGAGGAUAGUCCCCCACACUGGUACUGAGACACGGACCAGACUCCUACGGGAGGCAGCAGUGAGGAAUAUUGGUCAAUGGGCGCAAGCCUGAACCAGCCAUGUCGCGUGCAGGAUGACGGCCCUAUGGGUUGUAAACUGCUUUUUUACAGGAAUAAACUUUGCUACGUGUAGUAAAC
RNAcentral lists this ribosomal RNA (442 nucleotides) under uncultured Marinifilum sp. RNAcentral describes it as "bacterial SSU rRNA". It matches the Rfam family "Bacterial small subunit ribosomal RNA", at positions 28 to 469 of the family's 1533-position model. The record is from RNAcentral. Lineage: Bacteria; Pseudomonadati; Bacteroidota; Bacteroidia; Marinilabiliales; Marinifilaceae.